AGUUACCUUGAAACACAAGUAACUUACUAGUGUUUCCAAUACAGUCAGGAACAGUUGCAUUCUUAUGAUCUUAAAUUCAUGAUGUUAACUUUGGACUAACAUCUAAUAUUAUUUGAUCAAUAAAUUUGUUGUUGAUCCCAAGGAAACAUAUUUAAGCAAUAAAUUUAUUUUCGUUUUGAUUCUGGAAUGAGUUCAUAUAACAAAUUAAUGAUGCUGCUGUAUAUCACAGAAUUUGUUGAAAUAUAGAAAAAGGUAAAAAUGAUUUAACAAUAUCUUGUCAUAGCAUUCUCAUUGAGGGAACAUUUUGUUUCCAUAGGAAUGAUUGAUACAUGGAAGAAACAAAAUGAAAAAAAUAUUCAUGACAGAAAAAAAAAAUGGUUCUGUGCUAAUUAGCCUUAACUAAUCUAUCUAAGUCUGAUUAGCAUGAUUUACGGCUCAAUUCAAUCGAGAAGUGAGUUGUAAGAAAGAAUCUUCACUGCAAGGAAUUGUGAGACCACCCGUUGGAUGAUCGUAUCCAUCCAAAUUCUUCUUCUGCUUGAUUUAGUAAUUCUUGAAAUAAUGGUUGGUUCAAGUAUGAUACUGGAAUCACGAACCGUUUCAUUCUAUCUCCAACAUAGACUGCGAGAUAGCCUUUUGGGACUUCAAAUCCCUUGGUAGAUGCUUGCGUUGAGGAAAAUGAUGGCAUUCUGAUAAGUUUUGCUAUGCGGAAACCCAUUGUUUUUUUUUUUUUUUUUUUUUUUUUAUGGUUAGAGGAUUUGGAUGAGAAAGAAAUAUUUGAAUUCUGAUAAUUUAUGAUGCAAAAGACUUGUGUUACUUGAGACCCAAAGAGUAGUGUAUAAAUAGUUGCUAAGGGACUCUACAAACCAAUUAGCCAAUGAAAGUAUUUUGAUGAGCUGUGAUAGGGCCUAGUGAGGGACAAGAGAUCACAUGGUAUUGUCUUAUAGAAGUCAUUUUCAAGGAUUAGAUGAAGUUAAAUGGAAGAACAUGCAAAUACCCCACUUUGUAACACAAAGGAAAAAUUAAAGACAGUGGAUUGAUGAAAGAAACCUGAUGUUUUCUGCUAUAGCUAAUCCAAUGGUUGACAUCCAUUAGACAUCUCAUAUGUUUCUUCUAAUUGAUGUUAUAGCUAAUAUACAUCUACCAGCUAAAUACAUCUCAGAUUUGUGUGCAACUUGUUAGGCUUGUGUUGGAACAGUGUGAGGAGGAGAGAAGAGAACCGAUAUUGAACACAAGAACAUGAGCCACUAUGAACCACAUUUUAUAUUUUUGCAUGACAGACUCCACAAAAUUUGCAUACCAGAACAAAACUUUGCGAUCCCUGCCAUCCUAAUCAAAUAUGAAGGUCAAUUAAACUUUCUAUUCCAUGAAUAGGUCUGUUUUAUGGUAGGGUAGGCCUCUAAGACAAUACCAUGUGAUCUUAUAUAUGCUCUUGUCUCCUUGUAGAUUCCAUGACUCCAUCCUGAUCCUAUACUACAGUAUAUACUUCCACUAAUAAUUCAAGUAGCCAAUGGUUUCUCAAAAUUCUUUUAUCUAUAUAAAUUUUAUAGGUUAGAACCAUUUAGAACCAACUCUAAUCAUUCACAUCCUAAAAACAUUUGCAAUUUGAAAAACUUGGCUAUUGCUUUUAAUUUUUUUCUAAAACCACUUCUUCUAACUUUUUAACACAUACAACAAUGGGUAUCCGUUUCUCUGGUAUUAUCAGAAGGGCCUCAUUUUCUGCAAACCGAGCAAUAUCAAAAGCUGCGGACAUGCCAAAGAGAUAUCUUGCUGUAUAUGUUGGAUAGAAACAGACACGGCAUGUGAUCCGCAUAUCAUACUUGAACCAACCUUCAUUUCAAGAAUUGUUGAGUCAAGCCGAGGAAGAGUUUGGUUACAAUCAUCCCAUGGGUGGCCUCACCGUUCCUUGCACGGAAGAUGUUUUCCAACAUAUAACUUCUCACUUGAAUGGACUAUGAAUCAAACACCAAAAUAGACUAACGUAGUUUUAGUAGAGAUAAUUUUUUGUAAUCUAGUUAUCUUAUCAGAUUGUAAAGAUGAAAAAUGUCAUUAGAUUGACAAAUUUAUAGCAUAAAGACAUUUUUUAAUGACAAUGAAUUCGACUACUCAAACAUCUCCUUUGUGUUUUUGGUUUAUUGCACUUAAAAACUUAUGAAAUAUGACUAUAUGAGUAAUGUUGCUUGCUAUAAGAAAAUUAAGGGACUAGGUAUCCUGAAAAUUAAGGGAAUUUUUAUUUAUUUUUAAUUUAUUUUUAAUUUUUUUUAUAAACUACAUAACAUUUUCAAAGCUCUUCAUCAAUCAUUUGUGUACCAAAUGGUUUUCCAAACCACUCUUUAUCUAUAUAUAUUUAGAGAUGAUUAUGGUUGCUGUCAGAAACAAUUAACUUCCUCUAAUCAUAGCCUAAUAUUUUAAUUUUUUUCCUAGUUAUUUAUGUUAAACAUAUAAUGGGCGACAUUGUUAUUGAGUAGGGUGAUGGUUCGUAACUAAAUACUAAAUAUUCAUAAAUCUAAAACCUUUUUCCAUCGUUUAUAUUGUAGAUGUUUACAUAUAAUUUUUCAUUAUAUACGCACAAAAUGAUUCUAGUAACCUUGACACACAAGUAAUUUAUUGCAGCCUUUCCAAUAUACUGUCAAGAAAAGUUGCAUUUAUGAUCUUAAAUUCAUGAUGUUAACUUGGAGUGUCUUCUGGUAAUGUUUGAUCAAUAAAUUUGUGUUUCAACAUGAGGAGAUAUAUUUAUGCAAUAAAUUUAUUUUCUUUUUGAUUCUGGAAUGAAUUCAUAUAGCAAACUAAUGAUGCUGUAUAUAAUAGAAUUUGUUGAGAUUUAGAAUAAGCUAAAAAUGAUUUAACAAUAUCUUGUACCAACAUUCUCAUUGAGGGAACAUUUUGUUUCCGUAGGAAUGAGUGUUACAUGGCAGAAACAAAAUGAACAAAAUAUUCAAAACAGAUAAAAAAAAAAAAGCCUUCUAUGCAAAUUAGAAUGAACUAAUCUAUAUUAAUCUCUAUUAGCAUGAUAUCUACAGCUCAAUUCAUGCGAGAAGUGAGGUUUCGGAAUUCAUCCUCGCUGCACGGAAUGGUAAGACCACCCAUUGGAUGAUCAUAUCCAUAUUCUUCUUCAGAUUGAUUUAGCAAUUCUUGAAAUGAAGGUUGGUUCAAGUAUGAUACUGGAAUCACAAACCGCCUCAUUUGAUCUCCA
This 3190-nucleotide long non-coding RNA is filed under the name Medicago truncatula (barrel medic). Its description in RNAcentral is "long non-coding RNA (MTRU_LNC002000)". Lineage: Eukaryota; Viridiplantae; Streptophyta; Magnoliopsida; Fabales; Fabaceae. The record is from RNAcentral.